Molecule: ribosomal RNA, 490 nt
Filed under: uncultured bacterium
Lineage: Bacteria
Description: partial 16S ribosomal RNA
Rfam family: Bacterial small subunit ribosomal RNA
Source: RNAcentral
AUUGAACGCUGGCGGCAGGCCUAACACAUGCAAGUCGAACGGUAACAGGAAGCAGCUUGCUGCUUCGCUGACGAGUGGCGGACGGGUGAGUAAUGUCUGGGAAGCUGCCUGAUGGAGGGGGAUAACUACUGGAAACGGUAGCUAAUACCGCAUAAUGUCGCAAGACCAAAGAGGGGGACCUUCGGGCCUCUUGCCAUCGGAUGUGCCCAGAUGGGAUUAGCUUGUUGGUGGGGUAACGGCCCACCAAGGCGACGAUCCCUAGCUGGUCUGAGAGGAUGACCAGCCACACUGGAACUGAGACACGGUCCAGACUCCUACGGGAGGCAGCAGUGGGGAAUAUUGGACAAUGGGCGCAAGCCUGAUGCAGCCAUGCCGCGUGUAUGAAGAAGGCCUUCGGGUUGUAAAGUACUUUCGGCGGGGAGGAAGAGCAUCAGGUUAAUACCUUGCCUCAUUGACGUUACCCGCAGAAGAAGCACCGGCUAACUCCGUG